This is a long non-coding RNA of Triticum aestivum (bread wheat), 684 nucleotides long. RefSeq lists it as uncharacterized. NCBI's taxonomy places the organism in Eukaryota, Viridiplantae, Streptophyta, Magnoliopsida, Poales, Poaceae. The transcript has 2 exons. The record is from RefSeq and is a predicted model, not a curated record.
GGAUCCUCCUCCCUAGUGGUCACCAGCAGAGUGCCACAUCUUCCCGACCCCAUCUCAUUUUUGUGUGCGGUUCGGCGGUGCAUAGAUGUACAGUGCGGUGGCGCUGACAAAAAACGACGAGGAGGACGAUGGUGUGUGCCUUGUGGUUCGCAGGAUCUGGUGACCACCAUCUUGCCAAGAUCCCUCUGCCGCCCCUCCUACUCCUCUGCCCUUCCCUUUCCUCCCUCCCAGGCCGUGCGCCCCUUGCCGUCGUCGAGGUCAAUGAUCGAUGUUGUGGCCACCACACUGCAGCUUGGUUCGGUAUGUGCCACUGUCCUCCGGCGAGUGCGCAUGCAGUGCACUUUAGAGUUCGGCUAGCGCCGGCAUGAGGUUCACUUCUACAUGGUAGCUUGGAUGCCUUGGCGUUGCACGUCGGCAUUUGAUGUGGUGUCGUGCGGGUGUGUGCGGCCUGCAGCUCGGAGCAAGCAGGCAUGCAGUUUAGACCGUUGUUUGUGGAUUUUAUUUGUCUAUCAAAUGUACCCGGUUGGGAUAUGAUGUAUUGUGUGUAAAAACUAUUUGUUGAGAAGUUUAUUUCAACAAGCACUAAAAUAGUUCAUUUUUGAGAAAAAAAAUGUGUUGAUGCAACCCAGUUCGAGGAGUCUUGUGGUUCAUUGCAUUCAACGAGGAGACUUGUUGUCUCGUGCA